UGGUUGAUCCUGCCGGAGGCUACCGCUAUUGGAGUUCGAUUAAGCCAUGCGAGUCGCGAGUCUUAGGGACUCGGCGUACCGCUCAGUAACACGUGGGUAACCUGCCCUAUGCUGGGGGAUAACCUCGGGAAACUGAGAAUAAUACCCCAUAGUUCACCACGCCUGGAACGGUGGGUGGAUGAAAGCUCCGGCGGCAUAGGAUGGGCCUGCGGCGUAUCAGGUUGUAGGGGGUGUAAUGUACCCUCUAGCCAUCUACGCGUACGGGUGUUGGGAGACAUCGCCCGGAGAUGGAUUCUGAGACACGAAUCCAGACCCUACGGGGUGCAGCAGGCGCGAAAACUUGGCAAUGCGAGCAAUCGUGACCAGGGAACUCCAAGUGCAUCGGGUAAGACCGAUGCUUUUCUUGACUCUUCAAAGGUCUUGGAAUAAGGGGUGGGUAAGGACGGUGCCAGCCGCCGCGGUAAUACCGGCGCCUCAAGUGGUAGUCGCUUUUAUUGGGCCUAAAACGUCCGUAGCCGGUUUGGUACAUUCGUGGGUAAAUCAAGGCGCUCAACGUCUUGAAUUCUGCGAGCACGGCCAGACUUGGGACCGGGUGAGGUGUGGGGUACUCUCAGGGUAGGGGUAAAAUCCUGUCAUCCUGAGAGGACCACCUGUUGCGAAGGCGCCACACUAGAACGGAUCCGACGGUCAGGGACGAAGCCUAGGGGCACGAACCGGAUUAGAUACCCGGGUAGUCCUAGGUGUAAACGCUGUGGACUUGAUGUUGGGAGUGCUCCGAGCACCCUCAGUGUCGAAGCGAAGGUGAUAAGUCCACUGCCUGGGGAGUACGGUCGCAAGGCUGAAACUUAAAGGAAUUGGCGGGGGAGCACUGCAACCUGAGGAUUGUGCGGUUUAAUUGGAUUCAACGCCGG
RNAcentral lists this ribosomal RNA (911 nucleotides) under uncultured marine archaeon. Its description in RNAcentral is "bacterial SSU rRNA". It matches the Rfam family "Archaeal small subunit ribosomal RNA", at positions 5 to 921 of the family's 1478-position model. The record is from RNAcentral.